AGUGAACGCUGGCGGUAGGCCUAACACAUGCAAGUCGAACGGCAGCACAGUAAGAGCUUGCUCUUACGGGUGGCGAGUGGCGGACGGGUGAGGAAUACAUCGGAAUCUACUUUUUCGUGGGGGAUAACGUAGGGAAACUUACGCUAAUACCGCAUACGACCUACGGGUGAAAGCAGGGGAUCUUCGGACCUUGCGCGAUUGAAUGAGCCGAUGUCGGAUUAGCUAGUUGGCGGGGUAAAGGCCCACCAAGGCGACAAUCCGUAGCUGGUCUGAGAGGAUGAUCAGCCAAACUGGAACUGAGACACGGUCCAGACUCCUACGGGAGGCAGCAGUGGGGAAUAUUGGACAAUGGGCGCAAGCCUGAUCCAGCCAUACCGCGUGGGUGAAGAAGGCCUUCGGGUUGUAAAGCCCUUUUGUUGGGAAAGAAAAGCAGCAGGUUAAUACCCCGCUGUUCUGACGGUACCCAAAGAAUAAGCACCGGCUAACUUCGUG
RNAcentral lists this ribosomal RNA (492 nucleotides) under uncultured bacterium. RNAcentral's name for it is "partial 16S ribosomal RNA". It matches the Rfam family "Bacterial small subunit ribosomal RNA", at positions 29 to 507 of the family's 1533-position model. The record is from RNAcentral.